Molecule: ribosomal RNA, 796 nt
Filed under: uncultured Pelagibacteraceae bacterium
Lineage: Bacteria; Pseudomonadati; Pseudomonadota; Alphaproteobacteria; Candidatus Pelagibacterales; Candidatus Pelagibacteraceae
Description: bacterial SSU rRNA
Rfam family: Bacterial small subunit ribosomal RNA
Source: RNAcentral
ACGCCUUAUACAUGCAAGUCGAACGAAGUAGCAAUACUUAGUGGCAGACGGGUGAGUAACAUGUAGGUAUCUUCCCUUUGGUGAGGAAUAACACGAGGAAACUUGUGCUAAUACCUCAUAAGUCUUUACGGAGAAAGCUUUAUGCGCCAUUGGAUGAGCCUGCACUUGAUUAGUUUGUUGGUGGGGUAAUGGCCUACCAAGACUGUGAUCAAUAGCUGAUCUGAGAGGAUGAUCAGCCACAUUGGGACUGAGACACGGCCCAAACUCCUACGGGAGGCAGCAGUAGGGAAUAUUGCACAAUGGAGGAAACUCUGAUGCAGCGAUGCCGCGUGAGUGAAGAAGGCCCUUGGGUUGUAAAGCUCUUUCGUCGGGGAAGAAAAUGACUGUACCCGAAUAAGAAGGUCCGGCUAACUUCGUGCCAGCAGCCGCGGUAAUACGAAGGGACCUAGCGUAGUUCGGAAUUACUGGGCUUAAAGAGUUCGUAGGUUGUUAAAAAAGUUGGUGGUGAAAUCCCAGAGCUCAACUCUGGAACUGCCAUCAAAACUUUUUAGCUAGAGUAUGAUAGAGGAAAGCAGAAUUUCUAGUGUAGAGGUGAAAUUCGUAGAUAUUAGAAAGAAUACCAAUUGCGAAGGCAGCUUUCUGGAUCAUUACUGACGCUGAGGAACGAAAGCAUGGGUAGCGAAGAGGAUUAGAUACCCUCGUAGUCCAUGCCGUAAACGAUGUGUGUUAGACGUUGGAAAUUUAUUUUCAGUGUCGCAGCGAAAGCAGUAAACACACCGCCUGGGGAGUACGACCG